AAAAAAAAAGUCACUCGAGACUGUUUUGGAAACAAAGCGAGUAGAUGUAAAAUAAGCAUGAUUUUGUGGGUUUACCCCUACAGAAAUCGACGACACGCGCUCAACGCGAGGUUGGUGCGAGUGGGCGUGGUCUGUAGCGCGUGGCACGAGGUUGGUGCGAGUGGGCGUUUUCUGGUGCGCUCUGAUUGGCUAAAAAAAUGAAAAUAGUAGUGAUGCUCCUCCUCUAUUAUUUUGUUUUUCGUCAUUCCUCGGUUAUGAAAGUUGUGUGGUUUUAAGAUGGAAUUGAGUUUAUUCUGAGGUUUUUAGUUAUUUUGAAAUCAUUGAUUAAUGUCACCAAAAAAAAUAGAAACUAGAUUUUGAGAUACUAAAAUUUUCAUUUUCAUUUUGUUCUGCAACCAUUGAAAACUAGAUUCAGCUGAGCCCCUGAAGAAAUCAAAGUGAGUUGAAUAUUUUUCUAUAAAUGUGAAAAUUGGUAAAAGUUUGUCCUCAUUUUGUUAGUUUAAUGUUUUCUUGACUUUAGGAGAUGAACUUUCAACUGCAAAGAUCCCAUCACACAUU
RNAcentral lists this small RNA (558 nucleotides) under Arabidopsis thaliana (thale cress). Its description in RNAcentral is "ATSL237500". The record is from RNAcentral. Lineage: Eukaryota; Viridiplantae; Streptophyta; Magnoliopsida; Brassicales; Brassicaceae.